CCUGUGAGGAUGUCCAGAGUCUAGGUGAUUGAAACCCUGAGAUAGGAGAUAGGUCAACACAAACCUGAGGGAGAGGUGCAAGAGAGGUGGCAUCCCAGCCUCUUCUGGGGGGCUGCAUCCAGCCAGCACCAGAUCAGAUCAUGGGUUUGCAAAGGGCUCCCCAAUGGUCUGUUCUGGGAGGAAUGGGAAUGGGUGGGAAUUAUUGCCUGAGGACCUAACCUCCCAGAACUUGUUUAUAUCAGCAGUUUCAACUUUUAGGUUCUAGUUUAAACCAAUUUAAUUAAACAGAUGUAAAAGGCUGGAGGGACACUCUUAAUUUGGUUUAAACCAGAUUUGGUUCAGGUUAGUUUACAUCAGUUAGGAACUAGUUUAAGGUAAACAGAAAUAAGCCACCUCUUGGACCCCAAUAAGAGUGUCCACACGGGAGCUUAACUAAACUGGUGUAGCUGUGUGUAGGCCAGGCUGUACCUGGCUCCUUGAGAUGUUGGAUUCAUGCCUGGUCCACUCUGCCAAUAGCUGUUUUCCUGGCCCUCCAUCACUUACUGCAGGGGGUUGAGGAACCCUGGAGAUGACAACUGCCUUGGUUAGUGAUCUAGAGUCCAAGGAUUCCACAUCUCCUGUCUCUAGCAAUGCGCAGUGGCUUUAACUAUGCUUAGGGCUCAUAAUUCAGCAGGUGCCGUGCACAGGGCAUGCUGCCAGCUGGGUGACUCAGCAGCACUAGGGAGCAUGCAAGGGUCAGCAAGGUGACAACGUUAAGGAGGAGGCAGUCGUGCUACUGCUCAGAGUAUUGCAUCAGUCCAGGAAGAGCACCUGCAAUGGGCACGUACAUUUGAUCCUGCCAGAGGCUUGGAGAGGGACUGAGAGACACAGGCCCGAUUGACUCUCUAGAAGGUGCAGUCACUGCUGGUGCCCUGGUGCUAGCAACAUGGGAAGGGACCUUAAGUUGAUGUGACUGCUUGAUUCUCCCCCAGGUACCGUGCUGUUGAUGGUUCUCCUGGCUCUGAUCCAUUGUUGCUGCUGCUGCUGCUGUGACACCCGGGGAUCACACAAGAAGGUCCCCAGAAAGAAAGUGGGCAUUGAUAACAAGGCCAUGGAGCCAUAGCCCCGCCUCCUCCCUUGGACAGACUGAUUCUGGAGCCAACGGGCAAAAGAC
This 1153-nucleotide long non-coding RNA is filed under the name Gopherus agassizii (Agassiz's desert tortoise). RNAcentral describes it as "lncRNA (ENSGAGG00000002034.1)". Lineage: Eukaryota; Metazoa; Chordata; Testudines; Testudinidae. The record is from RNAcentral.